This 849-nucleotide unclassified non-coding RNA is filed under the name Bradyrhizobium sp. RNAcentral describes it as "partial 16S-23S ribosomal RNA intergenic spacer region". The stretch from base 172 to 245 matches the Rfam family "tRNA". Lineage: Bacteria; Pseudomonadati; Pseudomonadota; Alphaproteobacteria; Hyphomicrobiales; Nitrobacteraceae. The record is from RNAcentral.
GAGCUCACGCUCACUAUCGGAUCGUUUUAGAAACAUCAGUGGCCAACAGAUCGCCAGAUCGUUGAGCUGCAUUGGCGGGAUUUCGCCGUCUUCGUUUCUCUUUCUUCGCGGACGAACACGCGCUGGGCCUGCAACGGCAGGAUCCAGGGUCCUUAACGGGAUGUGCGUUAGGGGCUUGUAGCUCAGUUGGUUAGAGCGCGCGCUUGAUAAGCGUGAGGUCGGAAGUUCAAGUCUUCCCAGGCCCACCACUUUCAUCGAGUGAGCAUUCGUCUUCUGGUUACGGGGCCAUAGCUCAGCUGGGAGAGCGCGUGCUUUGCAAGCAUGAGGUCGUCGGUUCGAUCCCGUCUGGCUCCACCAGAUGGUUUGAUCACCGAGAUCUUGACCGUCGUCCGCGAAACAUCACUUCGCAUCCUGCUAGUCUGGAUAGACAGCAGUUUGCGUGUUUUCUGACAUCGUAAAGAGGAGAUCGAUCCGAGUUGGGUCGUGCAGCAUAUCGUUGCGCGAGCCUUCAUUAUCUCCGGAUCAUUUCGGCGCUCGCUUCCAGCCGUGAGGUUGGAUGCGGGUUGUAAAUGAUCCUUUUAGCGAAGCUUGACCGCCUCGCUAUCGGAACGAUCUUACGAAGCAAGCUGGUCUUUCUAGUCAAUGUCCGGCUGCGGAUAGCGUUCAUCGAGGGCGCGUGCCGCAAGGCAAUUCUGCAGACAACAUUCUGCCGAGUGUGUGGACAUUGAUAAUGAGAGCAAUCAAGUGCCUUAAGGGUGUUCGGUGGAUGCCUUGGCGCUGAGAGGCGAUGAAGGACGUGCUACGCUGCGAUAAGCCGUGGGGAGCUGCGAAGAACCUUUGAUCCGCGGA